RNAcentral lists this long non-coding RNA (539 nucleotides) under Danio rerio (zebrafish). Its description in RNAcentral is "lncRNA si:dkey-103k8.4 (ENSDARG00000097859.2)". The record is from RNAcentral. Lineage: Eukaryota; Metazoa; Chordata; Actinopteri; Cypriniformes; Danionidae.
GCUCCAUAACCGGGCUGUAAUUGACCGGUGGCAACAAACCACCACGGCUCUCCUUCUAUUCUCGGCAGCGCUUGUCCAAAGACAACCUGUAGAGCCGACUGAAGAAUAAUAAUAAUAAAAAAGCUAAAGCUGUUACUGCAAGUACAUUUCUGCAGAAAUCGACGCAUCAAGUCUGACGCGUUCAUGCUGCCCUCCCUCUCAAUGCAAAGUCAAGGUGCAUGUCGUGGCUGGCUGCGUCUCUCUUUUGUCUGAUAUGGCUGUUUGUCCUCCAGAGGUGCAGGGCCGCAGUCUGCAGUCGCUGGGGUGAAGACAGAUAUUUCCCGUGAUAAAAAAGGGGAAGGUGAAUCUGCAGUAACUGCCAUAAUACAGAGCAGGAGAGUGUAGAGGAUAAUUCAGUCACACGGCCCUCGAAAUGACAGGUUGAUGAGUGAGUGGAAGAGGGGAAUUGCAGUUUGAUGACACCCUCUUAAGCAAAGGAGGAGAUUAGAGCAGAAAAUGUGGAAAUCAGGACUGCGUUUCAUUGGCUGGAGAGGAGAAUG